AUGAACGCUGGCGGCGUGCCUAAUACAUGCCAGUCGAGCGAACAGACGAGGAGCUUGCUCCUCUGACGUUAGCGGCGGACGGGUGAGUAACACGUGGAUAACCUACCUAUAAGACUGGGAUAACUUCGGGAAACCGGAGCUAAUACCGGAUAAUAUAUUGAACCGCAUGGUUCAAUAGUGAAAGACGGUUUUGCUGUCACUUAUAGAUGGAUCCGCGCCGCAUUAGCUAGUUGGUAAGGUAACGGCUUACCAAGGCAACGAUGCGUAGCCGACCUGAGAGGGUGAUCGGCCACACUAGAACUGAGACACGGUCCAGACUCCUACGGGAGGCAGCAGUAGGGAAUCUUCCGCAAUGGGCGAAAGCCUGACGGAGCAACGCCGCGUGAGUGAUGAAGGUCUUCGGAUCGUAAAACUCUGUUAUUAGGGAAGAACAAAUGUGUAAGUAACUAUGCACGUCUUGACGGUACCUAAUCAGAAAGCCACGGCUAACUACGUG
Molecule: ribosomal RNA, 496 nt
Filed under: uncultured bacterium
Lineage: Bacteria
Description: partial 16S ribosomal RNA
Rfam family: Bacterial small subunit ribosomal RNA
Source: RNAcentral